RNAcentral lists this ribosomal RNA (460 nucleotides) under uncultured bacterium. RNAcentral's name for it is "partial 16S ribosomal RNA". It matches the Rfam family "Bacterial small subunit ribosomal RNA", at positions 338 to 795 of the family's 1533-position model. The record is from RNAcentral.
CCUACGGGUGGCAGCAGUGAGGAAUAUUGGUCAAUGGGCUUACGCCUGAACCAGCCAAGUCGCGUGAGGGAAGACUGCCCUAUGGGUUGUAAACCUCUUUUGUCAGGGAGCAAAGCCGGCUACGAGUAGCCGGACUGAGAGUACCUGAAGAAAAAGCAUCGGCAAACUCCGUGCCAGCAGCGGCGGUAAUACGGUGGAUGCGAGCGUUAUCCGGAGUGAUUGGGUUUAAAGGGUGCGUAGGUGGAAUGCCAAGUCAGCGGUAAAAGCGCGGGGCUCAACCUCGCUCCGCCGUUGAAACUGGCGUUCUUGAGUGGGCGAGAAGUAUGCGGAAUGCGUGGUGUAGCGGUGAAAUGCAUAGAUAUCACGCAGAACUCCGAUUGCGAAGGCAGCAUACCGGCGCCCAACUGACGCUGAAGCACGAAAGCGUGGGUAUCGAACAGGAUUAGAUACCCUUGUAGUC